This is a long non-coding RNA of Callithrix jacchus (white-tufted-ear marmoset), 1781 nucleotides long. Lineage: Eukaryota; Metazoa; Chordata; Mammalia; Primates; Cebidae. The record is from Ensembl.
CAACUAAUAUAUACUGAGUACAAACCAUGUGUCACUUUACAUAUAUUAAUUUACUUAAUUCUCACAAUAGUCCUUGGAGGUAGGCAUUAUUAUUAUUGGCCCAUUUUAGAGAUGAAGGACCUGCGGUGUACAGAGGUUGCUGUGAAGUGUUUGUUCUUUUUUACAUCAAAGUGGUCUGCAGAGUGAAAGCCAUUCUGCUGCAAUGGUUGAAAGCCUGAGCUCCAGUGAGCUUGGACUCUGGAAUCUGUCACAUUCCCAGACGGACGUUUGCUCUUAUUGCCCACGCUGGAAUGCAAUGGUACAAUCUCAGCUCACUGCAACCUCCCCUUCCUGGGUUCAAGCAAUUCUCUUGUCUCAGCCUCCCGAGUAGCUGGGAUUACAGGUGAGCACCACCACAUCCGGCUAAUUUUUGUAUUUUUAGUAGAAAUGGGGUUUCACUGUGUUCACCAGGCUGGUCUCUGGUGAUCCGCCACCUUGACCUCCCAAAGUACUGGGAUUACAGGCGUAAGCCACCCCUCCAGGCCACAAGGGGUUAUUAUUAUGCGGUAGUGUCUCCUGCCAUUUUCUUCCAUUCUCUUCCCUUCCUGCUGAAAUUCUGCUUUUCUGUAGGAAACAGAGCUAACUUAAAAGACACAUACAUUCUUCUUUUCUAAUAUAUUUUAAUGAGUCCACAUUUUCUUAGAAGCUUUCUGGAGACCAUCUGUAUCUUCAUUCACAGGAGUGCCUCUACUCUGGACAUCUGGGUACUUUGGAGAGCUGGAAGCAUCAGGACUGUGCAAUGACAGAAUCUGUGUUUUCUACCACACCUUACCCGUGGAUAGUCCUAACAUUUAAAAAGUGAAUAAACAACAUGAAAUUAACAAGGAAGGAGAAAACAACUCCUAGCCCUAUUUCCUCAGCAAUUCAAUUUUAUUUCCCUUUUGUUUUCCCUACAAGUAUAUAGAAUUAGAUAGCUGCAAUCAAAAUAUUGAAUAUUUUCCUUCUAUUUAUAGAAUUCUCCCAUUACUGCAUCAUCUUCAUUAUAAUUUAAAACAUGCAUUUAAGUGAUGCAUCCACCUGAACGCAUGUUUGAAAUUGUAAUGGUAAUUUACUUAGCCAUCACUGUUAUUUAUGUUGCUUGUAAUUUUAAAAAUUAUUCGUAGUUCAGUCUGCAAAGAUGCACAGAGCUCUUCAUGCACCUGCUUUAUUUUAUCUUCCAUUGAGAUCCAUUAAUAUUUUCAGCCAGUGUCACUUUUAGGGUUAGGAUGUUUCCUACCUUCGCUGUGAGCUGUGGGAAGUGGCAUGACUUUAUCUCUAGAAUUGUUCUUUGAGUGUCAAGAGUAGCUUGGUCCUGUUACUUUAGGCUGGGAGGGGAGUGCGUUUGGGUAGGUUGAAAUCCAAAGCUCAAUGUUGCCUUCAAGUGAGAACUUGCAGGAACUGCAGCUCUGGGAGAUGGGUCUCUGCCUUGGCUGGGGCACUUUGGUUUGGGUGUAGGGUUGAGAUCUUAAGGAGACACUAAUCUGGUUCAGAGAUGGACCUGGGGGCAAUUAGAUGACAAUCACCAGACAGCAGACUUUCUCAAUUCAGUUUUUAUUCUAUUCCAUUUUACAAUUUCCAUCCCAGAAGAAGAGGAAGAAGAGGGAGAGGAAGAAUGAAGACAGCCACCAUGAAUUAAAUGCCUACUAUAGGCGUCUUUUUGCUAAGUGAUUUACAUACAUCAAUGCUAAAUUUUAUGAUAAUGUUUUUAUACCUGCUGUUUUACAAAUGAGAAAACUGAGACUCGAGAGGUCAAGUUAUUUGCC